RNAcentral lists this long non-coding RNA (4808 nucleotides) under Homo sapiens (human). Its description in RNAcentral is "non-protein coding lnc-ATPAF2-2:2". Lineage: Eukaryota; Metazoa; Chordata; Mammalia; Primates; Hominidae. The record is from RNAcentral.
UGAGACCUGAAGCCUCAGAACCAGCUCUCCUCCUCCUCUUCCUCCUCAAGAUGGACCUCAACUCACUGAACUCUGGUUCACUCUUUUGGUCCCAGAGCUAAUUCUUUGGUUGUUUAAGGUUUAGCAUAGGAGACCCCAAAGCAGCAAGGUUCUGGCCCUGGUUCUGCCACUUGCCAGCUCCACGCCCUCAGAUCAGUGGCUUCAGAGCCUCAACGUGCUCAGCUGUGAAACAGGGACAGGGUGAGGCCUUCCCAGGUAUGAUCCACUGUGCCCAUCCUGGAUGCAGACUUUAAGCAGAGUCACAUCAACAAGAAGAGCUGUGAAGGUCAGGGCAUGACCCACAGAUGCCCAAACACUGCACUGGAGGUCCAGGAAGAUUCUGCUGACAACGCAACCCUGAGCCAAGAUCUGAAGGAUAAGAGGGAGCUUAUAACAUGGAAGAAGGAACAGUAUUCCUGGCAAGUGGAACAGCAUGUGCAAAGAUGAGGACAUGGGCCCAGAGAGGUUAUGUGAGUGACACAGCUUGAAGGUGGAGUUAAGCCUGGGCAGUCUGGCUUCAGAGUGUCCACAGUCUCAACCACUGCCUCACAUGGCUUCUUAGAAAAUAUUAUAAAAAGAAGCUCGGGCUGCCAUGUGGAAAAGAAUGGAGAGGGGACAAUGACACAGCUGGGAGCAUGCUGUGAUGGUGUACAGCGGACACAUUCAGGAUGAGGUGAAACAGGCUGGCCCUGGUGAGAGGCUAGAUGGGGCUGGGAUGAGGGUGGAGACAAGUAGUCUUGGGGUUGGCUUGGUGCAGCUGGGGGGUGCGGGGAGUGUCUCUGAGGUGAGGCCGGGGGUAUGGGAACGCCAUGUUUGGUCUGGGACACGGUGGGCUUGGGAUGGCUACAGGACAGUGCAGUGGAGAGUCAAAAAGGCUGCUCGGACCCAGGUCUGGCGAGAUGGAAGCUGGAGGUCAGGUGAGCUGUCUAGGAGAGGGACAGAGUGGGAAGGAGAGGGUCUCGACUCGGCUUUCUUGCCAAAGGAGGGUUCCGAAAUGAGAAACUGUGGAAUCUAAGCUGGAGAGGAAGAAAGACGGAGAAUGAGUGAACGCACACGUGUGGGACAGAUAGAUGAAUAUUCAUGUCUUUGGCUCCUAUGUACCUGAGUCUUCUAAAGCUGCAGGCCAUACUACCCCCGGGAGGCUGCAGGGAUGCCAGCUGGGAGAUGAAUGCAACUCUGCUGCCUGGGCAUGGGCCUGAGUGAGGGUGCAGACCCCUGCCUGUGAUCAUCAGGGAGGGUGAUGAGAACAAGGUGGCUGACAGGGUGAGGCCCAAGCCUGGAGCUUACCCAGGUGCGGGGAUGGGAGGGUCAGAGACCUUUGGGGGGUCUUAGGGAGCUUCCCCAGCCCUAAAGGCACCGCAAGCUGCCACUUCACACUGACCUGGGCAUACGCAGCUGCAGGAUCCCUUGCUCGCUCUCUCACAAGCAAAUGUAGACUGCGCAACCAUCCUGACCACAGAUCCAGAAAGCCCAGGACAUAACAGAGCCGCAGUGCCUGCCCUGAUCCACGCGCACACAGAUCUAGCCCAGGAACAAGCCCAUCCACGGAGUGAGCAGCUGACAGGGGAGCCACGAACAGCCUGGAGAGCUGAGCAUGGGCCUGCUCCACACUCCAGCGGGGCCCGAGGCCCCCGGGAACUCUACCCCUCCUGGCAGCCUCACAGAACCUGCUGCAUCCAUCUCAAAAGGCAUACCUCCUCCAGGAAGCCUUCCCCGCUGCUCAGAGGUCUUAAAUCCGGGGUCUGCACUCACAAACUGUGCAGCCUACACCAGCUUCUGGGGGACAGCAGAACACUGUGGGGGGCCUGGCACAGUCCCUGGCACACGGUAGGCACUCAUCGAGCCCCUGCCAGCCCCUCUACUCCUGACUUCUGAGGCAACAGGAAAUGACCCGCCACCUUGUUCUCACAGAGCCUCCCUGCCAGCCCAGAUGGUCACAAGGGCCUCCUGGGAUGCUGCCCACCUUGGCAGCCAGGCCCCUCCGGAGGGGCCAGUCUGGGCCUGACACCCCCGAACACCAACCCCCUGGGCAGAGCCUGCCUGUGCCUGGGUGAGGAACCCUGCAGUCUCCUUGCCACACAAGGCCUGGGUCUGCCUUGGGGCCCAGGCUGCACCCUCUCCGACCCCCAGGCCCAAUGUCUGACCUGUGCCCACCUGACUCAACCUGGCUACUGUUCAGCAAGUUUACAAAGUGUUCUCAGUCUGAACAGGAACCGUUUUCAAUCCUUUAUUUCAGAAAGGAGAGCCAGGAGAACUGGGGACUUAGAAAAUACAGAUCCUAAACUCAAAAGUCCCUGCCCCAGGCGUGCAGAGCCAGGGUCCUGGGGUUUUGUGCUGGGCAGGGGCUGCCCUGGGAGGGGGAAUACAGGGGGAGGCACUUUAGGACACCCCUUAGGCUGUGGAGGGUGUCAGCUGGGCCUUUGAAGCCACUAACCACUGGUUCCCAUCAUGGAGAGCCCUGUGUGGGGCACCCAAGGGGGUUUCCUCCUGGAAGGGCCCCCAACCCAAGUGUCAGAGAAGCUGGCAAGAGCUGAGGGAGUGAGGUGCCAUGACAGCAGCCACAGCCUCCAGGGACCCAAACAGGCCCAGCUACCAGCCUGGCACUGAGCAUGCCAUCUGCUUUAGGCCCUGGCUGGCGGGCAUGUGGGCAACUUGCUCCCUCAGUGCAGGGGGCUGGGAGGCACAGAUGCAGGCUCAGCACUACAAACUCAAAACCCCCAUGAGAGGGCUCAGUCUUAUGGGAAAUGCCUCCAACCGAGCCCCUUUGCCCCAACACACUCUUCGUCUGCCUACUGAAGAAACUUCUGUAAAUAGCAGAGACUUGAGGGACCCCUUCCUGGGGUACGUGUAUUUGUAUUUUUCUGUUUGGGUGUUUGUGUGUCCCAGUGGGACCACCUCCCCAGGGAGACGAGGCAGGUGGGCGGGAGGCCCGGCAGGCGCCGUUACUUCUUCACGAUCUGGAUGACGUCCUCAUGCUCCAUGGUGUGGGUCAGGCCCACCCGCUGCGGACUGUACUUGGUGCUGGUGCCCUGGGUGAGGAAUGGGGGCAGAGGGGUCACCUCAGCCUGGACUGGCCAAGGUCAAGGAAGAUAUCCCUGGGCGUGUGUGUCCUGAAGGGUAAAUGCCAUGGCAUAAGGUGGGGGCCUCAGGCAGCAGGAUGUCCGCAGUUGUCUGACCAUCCCUGAUCUCAAAGGUUGGGGAGGGCCAGGCACAGUGGCUAAUGCCUGUAAUCCCAGCACUUCUGGAGGUCAAGGUGGGAGGAUCACUUGAGCUCAGGUGUUUGAGACAGCCUGGGCCAGAUAGCGAAACCUUGUCUCCAUGAAAAAUUAGCCAGGCAUGGUGGUGUGUGCCUGUAGUCCCAGCUACUUGUGAUGCUGAGGUGGGAGGAUCGCUUUUGCACAGAUGUCGAGGCUGCACUGGGCCAUGAUCGUGCCACUGCACUCCAGCGUGGGAGACAGAGCCAGACCCUGUCUCAAAAAAAAAAAAAAAAAAAAACCAGAAAAAAAAAAGGGUGGGGAAGGCCCAUGUCUACCCUGGGUUGGCAUGUACAUUCUAUGGAGGACAGACACACAGACAUGCCAAUCCCCACAGGAAGGACAGGAACACCACGCAGAGAGUGUGAAUGCCUUGCUUCAUGCCUAACCCAGGGGCUGUCCUGGGUCUACCCCCCUGGUUGCUUUCCACCCAGAGACUCACCCACACCAGGGCGUACUUGAACUGGCUGGCGAGUGACCGGUGGAUGCGGUGGCACUGGAGGACAGGAGAGAGUCAGGUAGAGAGGUCUUCCAGGCCCUGGUGGGAGACCCAACACCUCAGCCCAGCGUCCCUGGGGCGGAGGCCGGCGCCAGGCCUGCAGGAACACUUCCUUGACACAGAUGGGAAGGUGGCUGACUCUGGUCUGCAGAUGGGUUUUGUUUUACUCAGCUUGCCCAGCAUUGCCACUUGUGAGUGACUGAAGGGAUUCAGGAGGGUAAUCGUGAGUCUCCUUGGCUCCUCCUGCUGUGAUCUCAAGCCUAGGCCCUGAGGGAGAUGGGACUUUGCCUGGCCUCCUUUGUUUAACACCUCUAGGGUGGCACUCAGAGACCUGGGGCUGGGCUUGCGGAAUGAAUGAAUGCAUGAGACCAGAUUACAGGCCCUGCCACCACUGUCCUAAGGGGCUGCAGGGACAGCUGGGUCUACAGCAUCCCUUGCCUCCAGGAUACAGAUCCCAAGAAGAAAUGAGCUAGAGGAAAACAACACCAGGAAAGCAUCAGCCCAGGAGGACGGCCAUGUGACCUGAAGGUUGGCCACCAUCUGUGCCUGCAGGGUCAUGUUCAGGUCUUGUCAACUCACCACGUGCUCCACUGAGGCCCCUUUCCGGAGAAUGAUGGCGUCUGUGAAGUCUGGCCUCUCUGCAGGGCAGGAUGGGGAGAACGUCAGCCACACAUCAGGGCCCACACUGCCAUCUUGUGAUUCUGCGCGAGGGAAGAGCUGGCCACAGAGGCCCUUUCGGUCUCCUUGCCUUGGCCUAACCUCCCCCUGACAUCCAGCACACCCUCCACAUAGAUCCCUGUACCAUCUUCUACGACCUUGAUCUUAACACAGUGACUCAAAAUAAAUCACGUCUAGGAUUCACAGUGCCUGCCACCCAUCUGCUGUGACAGCACUGACAGAGACCAGGACCUGGACUGAACGGGCAGGGCGCAAAGGGAUGCUGGAGUCUAGUGAGGGAAGCUGUAGCUCACUCCUUGCCAAAGUCAGGGUUGAUGCAAACUGCUCCGAAUUCAGCU